CUUACAUCACACACAGAGUUAACUCAAAAUGGACUAAUUUUUCCACUAGUUAGUCCAUUUCAAGUUAACUCUGUGUGUGAUGUAGU
This is a microRNA precursor of Homo sapiens (human), 86 nucleotides long. Lineage: Eukaryota; Metazoa; Chordata; Mammalia; Primates; Hominidae. The record is from Ensembl.